GCUUCUCUCCCUAUGCCCUUUUGUUAAGCAGAAUCGAAGAAUCAUGAGGGUUGGAAGGGACCUCUGGAGAUCACCUAAUUCAACCCCGCUGCUAAAGCAGGUGGCAGCAGAUGAACAUCUGUGAAGAAGCCAAUAGCACCAAGCAAAACACAGAAGUUUACCGACAUAAUGUAAAAGAGCAAUUCUGAUGGGGAAAUAUAGAAUGAGCAUAUGUCUGCUCCACAUGGAUAUUAAACUUUGGAUGACAUUUUCUUUAGAAAAGAAAAACAUCUUUUAAUAUUUCCUCUUCUACUGUGGACUAUCUGCUACCCUGUUUGUAAUAAUUUGCGAAUCAUCCUUCAGGCACCACUUAACCUAUCUAAAUGCAAAGAAAUGAAUCUGGAAUACUAUCAAAGCAGAAACUGAAUAAAAAAGAGCCAUUCUGCUUCAGCAGCAACAUAAGAGACCUGGUUUUGAUUAUGCAUGUGAAGUGUUUAAUUUAAACUGCUAAUGGUUAACCAUGUCUGGCCUAAAGCAAUGUAAAUCUAGGAAAAAAAUACAUAAACAAAAGCCCCACCACCUCCCUUUAAUUCCUUCUUCUCUACAGUCAGAGAGAGAGGGGAAAACAUAAUUUUCUGGAAGAUAUGAAUAUUGCUUAUGUGAGAUUUCUUUUAUCAAGAAUGUGCAGAGAAAGAAGGUAAAAACUUUGCAGCUCAUACUGAAAAGCCUAGUGGUAAAAUGAGAGUAUCUCUCAAUUAGACAGAUUUUGUCAGGGAAGCAUAUAGUUACCUAUAUACUCCAAAAGUCUCUACGAAAGUAAUGCCUCCUAUAUAUUUCCAUGGAAACGACAACAGAUACAAGGAGCACAAUUACGCUAUUUGAUAGAGAAAAUUAUCAGCUAAAAACAGUAUUUUUUCAACGUAGUCACCACCAUUAGCUAUGCAUUUUCACCAGCAAUAAGCAAGAGCCUGCAAGCUACACUUGUGAAAAUCUGCACUAGCAGAGGUGAUCCACAAUUUCCACUGUUAAAACACCACUGACUGCCUCACUGCUCACAUCCACUGUUUGGUCUUCAUAAACAUUCAAAAAGUGUCAGUGAGUGUCAAGGGAUACAAUUUCUUCUACAUGAAGGAACUGAAAUCCACACUUUCACUACAUAUGCACUUCUAUGUCAGAAGUCUUUUUGUAAGAGUGCCCAACGUCUGUCUCUCAUGUUGUAGGUGAACAUAAGAAAACAGGAGGCAUUACUUUCAGUGCAGCCCUCAGAAAAAGCAUUUAUUAAAACUGUCUUAGAUGCAUAGGGAUUUUAAUAUGUCUAGGUGUAUAUAGUCAGCUUUGCUCAGAGGAAACCCAGUCUCAGCAUAAAGCCAACUCCAUUUUCCAAGUUAAGUGAAUUUGCCUUUAUUCAAAAGUAUUUUUAAAUAUUUUAUUAAUAAAAUAAACUAACAAAAUAUACUUGCCUUGCAUAAUGAAUAAGCUUUUUUUACUAAGCAUAAAACUAUUUCUACAUUUAAAUUUUUCAAUAGAAUCUCAUUUAAUGAAAGAGAAAUUCUUCUUUUUAUACAGCUUUCAAAAAUUUCCAGAAACGUUCUGGUUUUCAACUUGACAUUUGAUCAGCUAGAAAGAUGGGAAAAUGCCAGUGUAAUAUACCUACCAUAGUAAAUCAAUUUUGUAUUUAACAUUAUAGGAUCCAGACAUUGUGUACCCUUCCAUAAUCAAACUAGUUUAUGUAUGGUUCAAAUAGAAGACAAAUGUUCAAGAUCUUUGCCUAAAGCAUUUGUAUUUCCCAAUGAAAGCAACUGUAGUCAAGGUUGCCUGUUUUUGACAUACAUAAUUCCUAUCCCAGUCC
Molecule: long non-coding RNA, 1828 nt
Organism: Gallus gallus (chicken)
Lineage: Eukaryota; Metazoa; Chordata; Aves; Galliformes; Phasianidae
Source: Ensembl